UUUAGUACCGUACCUGUGCAGCU
RNAcentral lists this non-coding RNA (23 nucleotides) under Cricetulus griseus (Chinese hamster). Lineage: Eukaryota; Metazoa; Chordata; Mammalia; Rodentia; Cricetidae. The record is from RNAcentral.